GACGAACGCUGGCGGCGUGCUUAACACAUGCAAGUCGAACGGAAAGGCCCUGCUUUUGUGGGGUGCUCGAGUGGCGAACGGGUGUGUAACACGUGAGUAACCUGCCCUUGACUUUGGGAUAACUUCAGGAAACUGGGGCUAAUACCGGAUAGGAGCUCCUGCUGCAUGGUGGGGGUUGGAAAGUUUCGGCGGUUGGGGAUGGACUCGCGGCUUAUCAGCUUGUUGGUGGGGUAGUGGCUUACCAAGGCUUUGACGGGUAGCCGGCCUGAGAGGGUGACCGGCCACAUUGGGACUGAGAUACGGCCCAGACUCCUACGGGAGGCAGCAGUGGGGAAUAUGGCACAAUGGGCGGAAGCCUGAUGAAGCAACGCCGCGUGCGGGAUGACGGCCUUCGGGUGGUAAACCGCUUUCGCCUGGGACGAAGCGUGAGUGACGGUAAUGGGUAAAGAAGCACCGGCUAACUACGUG
Molecule: ribosomal RNA, 468 nt
Filed under: uncultured bacterium
Lineage: Bacteria
Description: partial 16S ribosomal RNA
Rfam family: Bacterial small subunit ribosomal RNA
Source: RNAcentral